AAGACUAUAGACCUGCGGAGUACCUGCGGAGGGAUCAUUACCGAGUUAUACAACUCCCAAACCCACUGUGAACCUUACCUCAGUUGCCUCGGCGGGACCGCCCCGGCCGCCGCGCAAGCGGCGCCGGACUCCAAGGCGCCCGCCGCAGGGACCCGAAACUCUUUUGCAUUACGCCCAACGGCGGGAAUUUUUUCUCUGAGUGCAUAAGCAAAACAAAUGAAUCAAAACUUUCAGCAAUGG
This 240-nucleotide unclassified non-coding RNA is filed under the name soil metagenome. Its description in RNAcentral is "partial contains 5.8S ribosomal RNA, internal transcribed spacer 2, and large subunit ribosomal RNA". The record is from RNAcentral.